This 357-nucleotide unclassified non-coding RNA is filed under the name soil metagenome. Its description in RNAcentral is "partial contains 5.8S ribosomal RNA, internal transcribed spacer 2, and large subunit ribosomal RNA". The stretch from base 1 to 119 matches the Rfam family "5.8S ribosomal RNA", at positions 35 to 154 of the family's 154-position model. The record is from RNAcentral.
GAUGAAAACGCAGCGAAAUGCGAUAAGUAAUGUGAAUUGCAGAAUUCAGUGAAUCAUCGAAUCUUUGAACGCACAUUGCGCCCGCCAGUAUUCUGGCGGGCAUGCCUGUCCGAGCGUCAUUUCAACCCUCGAACCCCUCCGGGGGGUCGGCGUUGGGGACCUCGGGAGCCCCUAAGACGGGAUCCCGGCCCCGAAAUACAGUGGCGGUCUCGCCGCAGCCUCUCCUGCGCAGUAGUUUGCACAACACGCACCGGGAGCGCGGCGCGUCCACGUCCGUAAAACACCCAACUUCUGAAAUGUUGACCUCGGAUCAGGUAGGAAUACCCGCUGAACUUAAGCAUAUCAAUAAGCGGAGGA